RNAcentral lists this ribosomal RNA (460 nucleotides) under uncultured bacterium. Its description in RNAcentral is "partial 16S ribosomal RNA". It matches the Rfam family "Bacterial small subunit ribosomal RNA", at positions 338 to 795 of the family's 1533-position model. The record is from RNAcentral.
ACUACGGGUGGCAGCAGUGAGGAAUAUUGGUCAAUGGGCGCGAGCCUGAACCAGCCAAGUAGCGUGAAGGAUGACUGCCCUACGGGUUGUAAACUUCUUUUAUAAAGGAAUAAAGUGAGGCACGUGUGCCUUUUUGUAUGUACCUUAUGAAUAAGGAUCGGCUAACUCCGUGCCAGCAGCCGCGGUAAUCCGGAGGAUCCGAGCGUUAUCCGGUUUUAGUGGGUUUAAAGGGAGCGUGGAGGGGUUGUUAAGUCAGUUGUGAAAGUUUGCGGCUCAACCGUAAAAUUGCAAUUGAUACUGGCUGUCUUGAGUACAGGUGAGGUAGGCGGAAUGCGUGGUGUAGCGGUGAAAUGCUUAGAUAUCACGAAGAACUCCGAUUGCGAAGGCAGCUUACUAAACUGCCACUGACGUUGAUGCACGAAAGUGUGGGUAUCAAACAGGAUUAGAUACCCCUGUAGUC